This 25-nucleotide non-coding RNA is filed under the name Cricetulus griseus (Chinese hamster). Lineage: Eukaryota; Metazoa; Chordata; Mammalia; Rodentia; Cricetidae. The record is from RNAcentral.
UUUUUAUACUUGUGUGGAGCUGAGG